GGAGGAAUACCGGUGGCGAAGGCGGCCCCCUGGACAAAGACUGACGCUCAGGUGCGAAAGCGUGGGGAGCAAACAGGAUUAGAUACCCUGGUAGUCCACGCCGUAAACGAUGUCUACUUGGAGGUUGUGCCCUUGAGGCGUGGCUUCCGGAGCUAACGCGUUAAGUAGACCGCCUGGGGAGUACGGCCGCAAGGUUAAAACUCAAAUGAAUUGACGGGGGCCCGCACAAGCGGUGGAGCAUGUGGUUUAAUUCGAUGCAACGCGAAGAACCUUACCUGGUCUUGACAUCCACAGAACUUUCCAGAGAUGGAUUGGUGCCUUCGGGAACUGUGAGACAGGUGCUGCAUGGCUGUCGUCAGCUCGUGUUGUGAAAUGUUGGGUUAAGUCCCGCAACGAGCGCAAC
This 403-nucleotide ribosomal RNA is filed under the name Salmonella enterica. Its description in RNAcentral is "bacterial SSU rRNA". It matches the Rfam family "Bacterial small subunit ribosomal RNA", at positions 700 to 1102 of the family's 1533-position model. The record is from RNAcentral. Lineage: Bacteria; Pseudomonadati; Pseudomonadota; Gammaproteobacteria; Enterobacterales; Enterobacteriaceae. RNAcentral also lists the same sequence under 1 other name.